CUCCUGCUUCCAACUAGGGCAGGUGUUGUGGCAAUAAAGCUGCAUUGCUCUUCUAGUAACUUUACGGUACUGGCAAAAGAUAAAAGGUAAUCACAGGACAAAGUACGGUAGAGAGUGUCACUCUCACAGCUUAAGGUAUGUGAGUCUCUCCAAGGAAACUCUGGGGUUCUGAAGAGUAUUAAGAAACUGAAAACAUUCUCAAGAAGCAACAAUUCACAAGAAAAGACGUCUGCACAUCUUUCUCAUUUCAGUGAGUGUCUGAUUCCCAUGAACAAGUCCUUCCUCCUGUCUUAUCUCAUCUGGUCAUGAGGCAGUCAGAAUGCUUUUAUAAUUCACCGUGCAUCAAAGCUCAGCAUUUAAGGAACUGGCUAGCCACGGUGAAACCACAAGAACUCAAAAGCACCGCCUAAUUCCCAUUUCCAACAGAAGUCGCACGCAAGGCAGCUAGCACAAGCAUUCCCUGUGUGUAUGCUCUGCCGUCACAGAGUGCUGAAUGCAAGCAGAGGCACCUUCUGCUGGAAUCCAUGCAAGGCUGACAUGCCAUGGAUGCUCUGUCCUUCAGUUCUCCUUCUGUGAAGCAGGGAUUUGGCCUGAGGCUUUUGGAAAGAGGAGCGAGCCCCUUCUUCCCCUUGGGAAAAGUCACAGAAAAUGGGAGGACACCAGAGAUUACAGCUCUGCUCUUACAAAUGAAAUUUCUUCUGCCUAAAUAUUGUGAAUAUGAAAGCAUACACUUCCCAUCAAUGGCUGGAUUUAUUCUUUCCCGUCUAUGUGACUGGCUGUGUGAGCAACGAGAUGAAGAUACAGUACUAUUUAUGGACUAAAGAGGAUCUGUGAUUGAUUCGUUACUGUACACUGGUGUAUGCACACACAGACAAGUGAGAGAAAUACAUUGCUCUUUCUGCCUACUGACAGAUGAAUAUACCCAGUAUAUUCAAAUGUGUGUAAGGUUGUGUGUGUGUGCACAUUGCAUACGUGAAUAACCACAACAAAGACAUAUUGAAACAUAAUCCUAAGGUUUAGGGAUCAAUUUGUUUUAGGUAUGGCCUGAGAUAUUGUACUUGUUUCCUUUAAAUCUAAAAACCUUUGUGUGGACAAAAUAUUGCAGAGUCUCUUUACAACAUUUAGAUCCUGUCCCUGAUAAUGAGCAUCUUAUGCCUGGGAGGACUGCAAAGAGUGAGUGCUUUUGCCAUACAUUUGUGCAAGCAGAAUAUUACAACUACUUAAAGGACAUACCUCUGGUAACAGCAAAGCUAACUUGUGUACUCCCUGUGUAUUCUAAAAGCAAACAUAUUCUUAGCUAAUCCAAACACAGGGACAUAACCCCUCCAUAUAUGCAAGUAUCAUUGUUUCGUAAGACCACUCAUGUGUGCAUAUUUCUUUCCACAUUGUUAUAUCUUUGGUCAAUCAUGAAACAUCAGGUAUCUCACAAAAGUCUUUAAAAAUGCAGAUGGCACUUAGUAUACAUGCUCUGCCCUAAA
This is a long non-coding RNA of Tympanuchus pallidicinctus (lesser prairie-chicken), 1478 nucleotides long. RefSeq lists it as uncharacterized. The record is from RefSeq and is a predicted model, not a curated record. The transcript is spliced from 3 exons. Lineage: Eukaryota; Metazoa; Chordata; Aves; Galliformes; Phasianidae.